Cercocebus atys (sooty mangabey) is the source of this 3401-nucleotide long non-coding RNA. RefSeq lists it as uncharacterized. The record is from RefSeq and is a predicted model, not a curated record. NCBI's taxonomy places the organism in Eukaryota, Metazoa, Chordata, Mammalia, Primates, Cercopithecidae. The transcript has 6 exons.
UAGUAAAAACACAAGAUGUUUCCAUGUUACUGUGUGCAUGGAGACCCUCGCAGACAACGUGGCGAUUGUCUUCAGACGGUCAGAGCCGUGGCCCGGCAGCUGCAGGACAGGAUGCGCAGAGAGGCCGAGACCGGGAGGGAGGAGCCGAGCAGGCUGAGACGGACGGCACCUCCACUACCAGAGAAAUCCAGCGUUUCUGGUCUAGUACUGCGCAGAUAGUAGAAAUUAAGCUGCAAAUUGAAUUUCAAGAGAAACAAAAAAAGACAUUAAAUUUGAAUAAAUAUUCAAAAAGAGGGCGUAAUGAGACUGAAGUCUUGAAAACGUUACGAAUUCUACCUUUGUUGGUAAAGACUCCAGCAUCCUUGAAGCAGGCGCUCCGCUUGAAAAUAAAAGCGACGUGACUCCACCUCCCACCUGCAAGGCCCAAGACUGAUGUCAGUGCUGAUGUCCCAGAUGGCCUAGGUUGCUCUGGCCACGCCUCCUGUGGUGUCUGUCCUGGCAGUUGCGGUGCUGUCAGCCAGGGUCACAGAGCCUCCAUCAACACAACGGGAUCAGUGUUGUGAUAGGACAGCUGCAGAAAGCGGCAGGGAAAAGGGGAAGUGGGGGAGAAGCUGGGAAGGACAACAGGAGGAGUGGUGUUCUCAUUCCAUCAUUUGAGUUCUAGCUGAAUGCCCAGCAAGUCACAGUUCAGACCCAGCAGCCGACCAGCCAACAGCCAAGAGUGGCCUAUGCUUCAACGCAGGUGGACCAAGCUGUCUCUUAGAAAGGGUUGCACCCUGCAGGGUGGCUGUCCUGCCAGGCUGGGAAGUGGAGCCUCCAGCAGAGACACAAGCAGGCACUUCCGAAGCGAGGAGGCUGUGGCGGGUGUGUGCCCAACAGCUUGGCCAGGCGCACAUGUUCAACAGGUCACAGAACAGGUAUGAAUAUUCACAAAAGGGGAACAUGGACGUGUGUGACAGGCAAACACGCAUGUUACAUGGGUCCCAUCUUCACCUUGGGGUGGAGGCAUCACAUUCGAAUGCAUUACGAAUAAUUAGACCGUGCAUGCGAAAAGCUGAAGUGGGGACGGGAAGGCACUCUGUGCGCAGCCUCCACACCAGCCAGGGCCAUGCACACUUCGGUGCUCUCUGAUCAGGAGAAAGUCACCGCCGUCAGCCUUGUGGCCUGAUCAGGAGAAAGUUAGUGCCGUCAGCGUUGUGUCGUCACGGCUGUAGUCGUGGCUGGUGGAGCAGGGGUCGGUGAGUCCGCGUGUGUGAGCUGGGUAAGCUGCAGUUGCUUCAAUAUUGCUCGUCUUGAGGCCAGAGCUUGCUUAGCUGCUGGAGAGAAACAUCUUGUGGCCUCAGAACACGGUUUAUUCUGUAAGUGUGGGUGUAUGACUUGAACCUCACACAGCCCAGCCUUAGGUCCUGUUUGUAAUUUGGCAUCUGAUUGCCAUGAAGACUCUGUUCUGUCAGUCUUAGGGUCCCUGUUUUAACAGAAGGUUCCAGUUUUUUCUAUCUCCACCCAUGCCUACCUUCUUGGCCAUCCUUGUGGGUGUGAGGUGGAUCUCGCUGUGGUUGAGCUGCAUCUCCCUGAGGAGUGGCAUGGAAUGCGUCUCCGUGGCUGGCAAGUGGCAUGGAAUGUGUCUCCGUGGCUGGUGAGUGGCAUGGAAUGCAUCUCCGUGGCUGGUGGCCACUGCCUGGCAGUGCCCCAAAGAGAGCUUCUGUCAGGCUGAGCCUGGGGAGGGCGGGGCAGGGUUGUACCUCAACCACCACGGGCCGGUUCUGGGCUUGCUCCUGUCUGCCCUAAGUGUCCACAGACUUUCAGUGGCUGGUGCUUUGCUGAUGUCACCAGCCAAGCCUGCCUCACUGUGGGGUCAGCAGAAGUCAGUUCUCACUGUCUUCCUUGACCAAAAACCAGACCACAUCAGUGGCGGCUAUUUAUAUAUCAUAAGCGGCAUUUUGAUAAUUCUGGGUAUGUUGCUUUCUAAGAAAUGAGAGAAAACCAACGUGCUGGGAAUUAGCUGAUUCCAGGCUCUGCAGAGGCAGCAUUUCCCGUUUCGCUGCUUUGACCCCCUCUGAGGUCCAGUCCACCUCGGGAAAAUGACGGCAGUGUCGAAUUCUGUUAAACACAGAUCCAUCUGUUCAUCAUACCCUUUAACACACAGGUUCAGCACAGCCGCUGGUGACGUGUCAGAUCACAGUGGCCAGUAGCAGGGGCACGUGCAUCCAGCAGGCACAGCACAAGUUACUACAGCAGUGUGUCACCAUGGUUGGCUCACAGACGCCCGUGCUAGGGGCACGGAACCCUGGGCAGCUCUGGACGCUGCAAGGCCAAGGCAGCAGCCAAAGCCCAGAUGCAGCCUCCACUGGGAGGUUCCGGGCCCCAGCAGAGGCAAGGGCAGGCAUGGGGAGUGGGGUGGGAGUCACCCAAGACCUCAGCAGGGCGCCUUCCUUGACGUGCGCCCCGACCAAGGGGAUUCAGCACAUGCUCCAGUCGAGGAGGGCGCCCCCAUUCUCAUCCCCUUUGCUGUUGGACUGGGGUGGGACGUCCAGGGCUGCUGUUGCCUAGUUUUUACACUGGGAAGCUCCCAGGACUAGGACUGGCCCAGAAACCUGGACCCUAGGAGAAGCCUCUCAUUGGAUGACGACAGUAGACACUGGGAGGGCGGCUCUGUAGCCAAGGCCCCACGAUCCAGCACACACGAGGGUGCCUCGUGCAGCCUGCACUGAAGCUUGCCUUGUGUGGGAACGUUGCGUUUAUAUCCCGACGAAGUGUGUGCGUGUCUGGUGUGAGGUUUCUGGUCUGAGUGCGUCCCCGUGAGCGUCCAUCCUGCUCAUGGGAUUUGACUUCUCAUGUGUCAGCUUGGCCUGUGGCUCGGGGACAAGCGAAUGUAAGUCGAGGUGAGCCUCAGUCUCAGGAGUGUUUGCACACUGUCAUUCUACUGAAGCAGGUAUCUCCAGGCAGAGAAAGAACCAGUUCACUCCUAUUUCUUUGGAUAUUAUCAUACAAGACUUUCAAAACAGCCUCUUUACAGACAGUGGUCCGUGUUUCCAAGGCGUGUUUUCCAGCUUCACAGUGGAAAGUCUCAUGCUGUGAGUUGACUUUACACCCAGGCCGGGGACUGGUUACAAAGUAAAAUGUUGCGACCUGCACAGCUGACUUCUUUGGUCUGUGACAAUGCAAGCAACUCUGCCUGACACAGGCCUGGGGAAGGGUUUACCCGCAUUUCUCAGCGUUUGUUCCAAAAUCAGGACAGCCCACGUGGGUCCCUCAUGUGUCAGCGUGGGACUCUGGAGCGACCUUUCAGAGGGAAGAUGGUCAACACAUUUGUGUUGCUCUGAGAGCUAAUUUUUUAUUUAUUUAUUGUUUUUGAGACAGAGUUUCGCUCUUGUUGCUCAGGCUGGCGUGCAAUGGCAUAA